GUGGGGAAUAUUGGACAAUGGGGGGAACCCUGAUCCAGCCAUGCCGCGUGUGUGAAGAAGGCCUUUUGGUUGUAAAGCACUUUAAGUGGGGAGGAGGCUUACCUGGUUAAUACCUGGGCUAAGUGGACGUUACCCACAGAAUAAGCACCGGCUAACUCUGUGCCAGCAGCCGCGGUAAUACAGAGGGUGCGAGCGUUAAUCGGAUUUACUGGGCGUAAAGCGCGCGUAGGUGGUGAAUUAAGUCAAAUGUGAAAUCCCCGAGCUUAACUUGGGAAUUGCAUUCGAUACUGGUUGGCUAGAGUAUGGGAGAGGAUGGUAGAAUUCCAGGUGUAGCGGUGAAAUGCGUAGAGAUCUGGAAGAAUACCGAUGGCGAAGGCAGCCAUCUGGCCUAAUACUGACACUGAGGUGCGAAAGCAUGGGGAGCAAACAGGAUUAGAUACCCUGGUAGUCC
RNAcentral lists this ribosomal RNA (451 nucleotides) under uncultured bacterium. RNAcentral's name for it is "partial 16S ribosomal RNA". It matches the Rfam family "Bacterial small subunit ribosomal RNA", at positions 354 to 796 of the family's 1533-position model. The record is from RNAcentral.